RNAcentral lists this ribosomal RNA (467 nucleotides) under uncultured bacterium. Its description in RNAcentral is "bacterial SSU rRNA". It matches the Rfam family "Bacterial small subunit ribosomal RNA", at positions 917 to 1382 of the family's 1533-position model. The record is from RNAcentral.
GGACCCGCACAAGCAGCGGAGCAUGUGGUUUAAUUCGAAGCAACGCGAAGAACCUUACCAAGGCUUGACAUCCCCUGCAUAGUAUGGAAACAUAUGAAAUCGUAGCAAUACGACAGGGAGACAGGUGGUGCAUGGUUGUCGUCAGCUCGUGUCGUGAGAUGUUGGGUUAAGUCCCGCAACGAGCGCAACCCUUAUGAAUAGUUGCCAAUAUUAAGUUAGGAACUCUAUUCAGACUGCCGUGGACAACACGGAGGAAGGUGGGGAUGACGUCAAAUCAUCACGCCCCUUACGUCUUGGGCUACACACGUGCUACAAUGGGUGCUACAAAGAGAGGCGAAAUGGUGACAUGGAGCAAAUCUCAAAAAAGCAUUCCCAGUUCAGAUUGUGGGCUGCAACUCGCCCACAUGAAGGAGGAGUUGCUAGUAAUCGCGAAUCAGCACGUCGCGGUGAAUGCGUUCCCGGGUCUU